UACGUAGGGGGCAAGCGUUGUCCGGAAUCAUUGGGCGUAAAGCGCGUGUAGGCGGCCUGACAGGUCUGCUGUGAAAACUCGAGGCUCAACCUCGAGAUGUCGGCGGAAACCGUCUGGCUAGAGUCCGGAAGAGGAGAGUGGAAUUCCUGGUGUAGCGGUGAAAUGCGCAGAUAUCAGGAAGAACACCUAUGGCGAAGGCAGCUCUCUGGGACGGUACUGACGCUGAGACGCGAAAGCGUGGGGAGCGAACAGG
RNAcentral lists this ribosomal RNA (253 nucleotides) under uncultured bacterium. RNAcentral's name for it is "partial 16S ribosomal RNA". It matches the Rfam family "Bacterial small subunit ribosomal RNA", at positions 524 to 776 of the family's 1533-position model. The record is from RNAcentral.